RNAcentral lists this ribosomal RNA (468 nucleotides) under uncultured bacterium. Its description in RNAcentral is "partial 16S ribosomal RNA". It matches the Rfam family "Bacterial small subunit ribosomal RNA", at positions 28 to 507 of the family's 1533-position model. The record is from RNAcentral.
GACGAACGCUGGCGGCGUGCUUAACACAUGCAAGUCGAACGGAAAGGCCCUACUUUUGUGGGUUUCUCGAUUGGCGAACGGGUAAGUAACACGUGAAUAACCUACCCUUGACUUUGGUAGAACUUCAGGAAACUAGAGCUAAUACCGUAUAGGAUCUCCUGCUGCAUGGUAGGCAUUGGAAAUUUUCGGCGGUUGGGGAUGGACUCGCGGCUUAUCAGCUUGUUGGUGGGCUAGUGGCUUACCAAGCCUUUGACGGGUAGCCAGCCUGAGAGGGUGACCGGCGACAUUGGGACUGAGAUAGGGAGCAGACUGGUAUGGGAGGCAGUAGUGGGGAACAUUGUCCAGUGGGAGGAAGUCUGAUGAAGAGACGUUGCGUGUGGGAUGACGGUUUUUGGGUUGAAAAAAGCUGCAGCCUGUGACGACGCGGUAGUGACGGUAAUGGGUAAAGAAGCACCGGCUAACUACGUG